UCCACGCCCUAAACGAUGAUUACUCGAAGUGUGCGAUACACAGCACGCCUCUGAGCGAAAGCAUUAAGUAAUCCACNUGGGAAGUACGACCGCCAAGNUUGAAACUCAAAGGAAUUGACGGGGGCCCGCACAAGCGGAGGAGCAUGUGGUUUAAUUCGAUGAUACGCGAGGAACCUUACCUGGGCUUGAAAGUUAGUGAAUGCCGUAGAAACAUGGCAGCAAGCAAUUGCACGAAACUAGGUGCUGCAUGGCUGUCGUCAGCUCGUGCCCGUGAGGUGUUGGGUUAAGUCCCGUAACGAGCGCAACCCCUAUCAUUAGUUGCCAACAGGUCAUGCUGGGGACUCUAAUGAGACUGCCCGCGCAAGCGGUGAGGAAGGUGGGGAUGACGUCAAGUCAUCACGGCCCUUACGUCCCAGGGCUACACACGUGCUACAAUGGUCGGUACAAUGGGCAGCCACAUGGCAACAUGGAGCUAAUCCUUAAAACCGGUCUCAGUUCGGAUUGAGGUCUGCAACUCGACCUCAUGAAGCUGGAUUCGCUAGUAAUCGUACAUCAGCAAUGGUACGGUGAAUACGUUCCCGGGCCUUGUACACACCGCCCGUCAAGNCCAUGGAAGCUGGGGGUACCUGAAGUACGUAACCGCAAGGAGCGUCCUAGGGUAAAACUGGUAACUGGGGCUAAGUCGUAANCAAGGUACC
RNAcentral lists this ribosomal RNA (698 nucleotides) under uncultured bacterium. Its description in RNAcentral is "bacterial SSU rRNA". It matches the Rfam family "Bacterial small subunit ribosomal RNA", at positions 794 to 1500 of the family's 1533-position model. The record is from RNAcentral.